Molecule: ribosomal RNA, 1734 nt
Filed under: Legionella pneumophila
Lineage: Bacteria; Pseudomonadati; Pseudomonadota; Gammaproteobacteria; Legionellales; Legionellaceae
Description: partial 23S ribosomal RNA
Rfam family: Bacterial large subunit ribosomal RNA
Source: RNAcentral
UGCGCGAAAGCGCACGUGGUAGGGGAGCGUUCUGUAGGCUGAUGAAGGUGCAUUGAGAAGUGUGCUGGAGGUAUCAGAAGUGCGAAUGCUGACAUGAGUAACGAUAAUGUGGGUGAAAAGCCCACACGCCGGAAGUCCCAGGUUUCCUGCACGACGUUAAUCGGAGCAGGGUGAGUCGGCCCCUAAGGCGAGGCUGAAGAGCGUAGUCGAUGGGAACCAGGUUAAUAUUCCUGGACUUUUUAUAAGUGGUGAAGUGGGGACGAAGAAGGCUAGGUGAGCCAGGCGUUGGUUGUCCUGGUACUUGCAUGUAGGGGGGAAGACUUGGCAAAUCCGGUUUUCCAUAACUCUGAGGUGCGAAGUGGUUCUGACCUUUUGGUACAGAGAAGUCAUUGAUGCCCGGCUUCCAGGAAAAGCUGCUAGCCAUAACUUAUAGAGAACCGUACCGCAAACCGACACAGGUGGACAGGUAGAGAAUACUAAGGCGCUUGAGAGAACUCGGGUGAAGGAACUAGGCAAAAUGGUACCGUAACUUCGGGAGAAGGUACGCCCUUUUGGGUGAGGGCAUUUACUGUCUGAGCUUAAGAGGGCCGCAGAGACCAGGUGGCUGCGACUGUUUAUUAAAAACACAGCACUCUGCAAAUUCGUAAGAAGACGUAUAGGGUGUGACGCCUGCCCGGUGCCGGAAGGUUAAUUGAUGGGGUUAUCUUCGGAGAAGCUCUUGAUCGAAGCCCCGGUAAACGGCGGCCGUAACUAUAACGGUCCUAAGGUAGCGAAAUUCCUUGUCGGGUAAGUUCCGACCUGCACGAAUGGCGUAACGAUGGCCACACUGUCUCCACCCGAGACUCAGUGAAAUUGAAAUCGCUGUGAAGAUGCAGUGUACCCGCGGCUAGACGGAAAGACCCCGUGAACCUUUACUAUAGUUUUGCACUGGACUUUGAUGAUGACUGUGUAGGAUAGGUGGGAGGCUGUGAAGUGAGGACGCUAGUUCUCAUGGAGCCGCCCUUGAAAUACCACCCUGUUGUUAUUGAGGUUCUAACUUGGUCCAGUAAUCCUGGAUGAGGACAGUGUAUGAUGGGUAGUUUGACUGGGGCGGUCUCCUCCCAAAGAGUAACGGAGGAGCACAAAGGUACCCUCGGUACGGUCGGACAUCGUACCAAGAGUGUAAAGGCAAAAGGGUGCUUGACUGCGAGAGUGACGGCUCGAGCAGGAACGAAAGUUGGUCUUAGUGAUCCGGUGGUUCUGAAUGGAAGGGCCAUCGCUCAACGGAUAAAAGGUACUCCGGGGAUAACAGGCUGAUACCGCCCAAGAGUUCAUAUCGACGGCGGUGUUUGGCACCUCGAUGUCGGCUCAUCACAUCCUGGGGCUGAAGCAGGUCCCAAGGGUAUGGCUGUUCGCCAUUUAAAGUGGUACGCGAGCUGGGUUUAGAACGUCGUGAGACAGUUCGGUCCCUAUCUGCCGUGGGCGUAGGAAAAUUGAGAGGAGCUGCUCCUAGUACGAGAGGACCGGAGUGGACGAACCUCUGGUGCACCGGUUGUCACGCCAGUGGCAUGGCCGGGUAGCUAAGUUCGGACGGGAUAACCGCUGAAAGCAUCUAAGCGGGAAGCCUCCCUCAAGAUGAGUUUUCCCAUGAAGCCCGUUGAAGACUACGACGUUGAUAGGCAAGGUGUGGAAGCGCAGUAAUGCGUGAAGCUAACUUGUACUAAUUGGCUGAUUGUCUUGACCAUAUAAUCUGAG